RNAcentral lists this long non-coding RNA (41141 nucleotides) under Citrus sinensis (sweet orange). RNAcentral's name for it is "long non-coding RNA (CSIN_LNC000969)". The record is from RNAcentral. Lineage: Eukaryota; Viridiplantae; Streptophyta; Magnoliopsida; Sapindales; Rutaceae.
CUUACUAUAAAUCACCACCACCUCCAAAGCAUUCUCCCCCUCCACCUUACUAUUAUAAAUCACCACCUCCACCAAUGAAGUCUCCACCUCCGCCAUAUUACUAUAAAUCACCACCACCACCAAAGCAUUCUCCCCCGCCACCUUACUAUUAUAGAUCUCCACCACCACCAAAGCAUUCUCCCCCACCACCUUACUACUAUAAGUCACCACCUCCACCGAAGAAAUCCCCACCUCCACCAUAUUAUUAUAAGUCGCCACCACCACCAAAGCAUUCUCCCCCACCUCCUUAUUAUUACAAAUCUCCACCACCACCAAAGUAUUCUCCACCACCACCUUACUAAUACAAAUCUCCACCAACGCUAUCUCUAUCCCCACCUCCAUCUUACAUUUAUAAAUUCCCACCUCCACCAUCUAUAUCACCUCCACCACCACCUCCAUCACUGUCACUAUUGCCUCGCUACUGUUCCAAGUCAUCACCACCUCCUGAAGACUACUAAGUUCAAUGUUCCGUCUUCAAACAAAUUUAAAAUUCAAUAAGAAUAAAUUUGUUCCUUCAGUUGCCUUUUUCAUGAAUUUUUAUGUUAAUGUUUUUACGAAUAAUUUUUAAGAAGCGUUCGGUGUAUCAUUGUCAUGUGCAAUAAAAAUUUUCUAACUUAAUGUACCCAAAAAAAAAUGUUCCACAAGAAAUAUUCUAUUGUUUUAUCACAAAUGUGUUGUGGCACAUGUAAUGCGCCUAGAUAAAGUAAUAUUAUGUCUUGAUGAACAAUCAUGCACAACAAUGAUCAUGUACAUAGUUCUUCCAAUGUCAUGAUAAUGUCCAUGCACAUAAUAACAAACUUCUUCCUUGUAAUAUCAAAGAAAAUGAAUAUACAAGCCUCUUAUUCUCUAAUCAUUCACUCAAACAACAUUGUUUUAAUUUAGGUUUUGAUCAAUCUUAAUGCUCAUAAAUGCUAACUACAAAUCAUAUACAAGAUCAACAAAAACCAUAUUUUAAAUGAAUUAGAAAAACAAACAUUAGACUUAACCAAGUAGUUAACCUUUAUUAUUCUCCUAGGUAGAUUACAAGCUAUCACUGAAAAAAAAAAUCAUCUAAAAUGGUGAACAAAUGCGCUCUAAAUCAGUUGCAUUCAUUUGUUCAGCUAAGCAAUAAAAUAACCCUUUUCCAUUUUAACUUAUAUACUUUGGCAUGGUAACUUUAAAUAACACCCUCAACUUGACAAAUUUUAAUAACCAAAGCGAUCAAUAACUGUAAAUCUUGACAAAAUUUUUUACUUUAGUUAAAGCCAUAAACAUAGUAUUAAAUAAAAUGAAAAAAAAGGCCAUAAACAUAGUGUUGAAAUACCUUUAUACUUGUGAACUAACUUUUGAUGUUGAUUAAGCUCAUGUACCCUCAACUUUUGUAUUAUGAAUAUGCUUAUGCCCUAUCUUAGGUCUCCUCUAUGAACUCCUCCAUGAACCACUUUUUUUUUUUUUUUUAAAAAAUAAAUUCAUUAUGAUACUAAGGUAUAAGCAGAAGUAAAAUUCCUUUAAUAUUAUUGUAAUCAGGAUGUGGCUACCUAGGUGAUACAUGAAUUGGUUAUUUGUACAUUUUACUACAUUUUUUUGAGUUUGCUUGCUAUUUUUCUCUUUGUUCCAAUAAUUCCCACACGAGGAUAAUCUCAUUUUAACAAAGAAAGAUACUACUGAAAUACAACAAAACAUAAAUUCUAAUAUACUAGAAAAUUUUUUUUUCUUUGCCUUUUCAUAUCUUAGAGUUAUGUUUUUAUCCUCUUGUAGUGGCAUAUAUGCAUUUUAACUAGAAUAUUCUUAUUUGAGAAUUAUUAAUAAGAGAGUGGUAGACAAAUGAUACAAAACUAUGCUGCUUCACGAUUAACAACACAUUCAAUCGAGUAACGAUAGAGAGUCAAUUCUAACACCACGAGAAAGCAAACAAAAGUUGAAAUAUUUUAGCGAAUACCUUUUAAAGUUUGAAUUAAUAAUAAAAUUGUCCCAAAAAACUGCCUUAAUGGAAUUAAUGUGGAGAUUUAGUGGUAGGGUGCAUCAAUAUCAUUUUCCAGAAAAAAAAUAGUCAAAAUAUGAAAGGUUUGUUCUGCAGGUGGUUGAUAUUGCUGUACAUUAAUAUCAAUGAUACGUACCAAAUUCUAUUAUAAAAUUCAUUAAUGUAUAAGUAGAAUAUUUAAUAAAUUAAUUCCGGGUAAAACGUCGGUGAUAUGAACAGUAGCGAAGCUGCAACCGGGUUAGCUUUUUUUUUUAAUAAAAAAAUAGUUAAUUAUAAUUUAUGAAUUUGCCUUUAUUAAUACUUAAAAAAAUAAAAAUAAAUUUAAUAGCCCACCCCGAUGCUAGCUAAGCUAAAAAUAAAAUAUAUCGAAUAAAUGGUGAAGAGAAAGCUGUAAUAAUUAUCGUAAUUACAGUGAGAAGCUGUAAUUUUCUUGAACACGCUUUGACGUACGAUUAGCAAAAAAGUCGUCUGUCUAUAAGCAAUUGGCCGUACAGCAUCUUAACUAUUCCGUUGACAUUGUAAUUAAUUAAUUGAUGACUUUUCUAUAAUUUCUUUGAACCAAAUGCAGAUAUUUAGUGGGCAACCCGCAACCCUUGCUUGGCAAAAUAUAGGAAAGAAAAACUUGAAAUUUAUAAAUGUUACAUUUUGUUUGGAUGAAUAAUUUUGAGAUAAUGUUUCAGUUUUAGAUUUUGUUACCGAUACCUAAUUAUAAUAAUAAAAAAUAUUGCAUCAUUUUUUUACCAACAGUUACAAUACAUUUUAUUUUUUUUUCUUCUCAAUAUUUAAACUCGAAUAAUCAGUUAAAAGUUGCUCGAGAAUGUUUAAAAGCCAUUUAAGUAUACCACGUCAUUCAUGUUUUGCAAUCAUUCAAUUGUUAAUAAGUUUCCCAUGUGCUGAAAAUAAAUAAAAAUGCACGUGCAUAUGUCAUAUUGUCUCCGAAACCUCACAGCGGAAUGAGUGUAGUACUUGCAAUGCAUGUACUUUAGACUUUGUAUUUCUCUUAUUUAAAUGAUCAAUAAUUUUUCUUUGUCCUUUAAUUAGACGUCAACAGUCGAAGUUGUGGGCAAGUAGUAGGCUAUAUAUAAUAAUUUCCUGGAGAUCUUCCGUCUUCUAAGACAUUGCAAAUGCCAAACGUGAUAACUAUUUUGAUAAUUCAAAUACUACAUAAAAUAUAUGAAGUGUCAGACAAGUCAAAAGAAUUGAUUCUUCACAAUUGUAUAUACGUAUACACACACUUUGCCCAAAUCCCAUUGUAUCCAGGCUGUAAUUUUUAUAUUAAACGAACAUAUUUUAUUUUAUGUCAGCAAUAUUGAUGCAGGCUGGUGGAACAACAGCUUCAGGAUGGUCAACUACCCUUCGGAUCAUUGCAAGUGGGAUGGCAUCACUUGCAAUUCAGAUGGAACCAUAAUCGGGCUAAAAUUAUCAGGGUAUGAUGUUGACUUCAAAAGGUAGUCUUCGUAAAAUUAUCAUGGUAUAAUAUACGUAUUUAUUUUCGCAUACAUAAAUAAAUAACAAAAUUGUAAUUAAUUGGAUACAACUUCAGCUUUUGGACUGGUUUGUGAAAAUCGGAAAAAUUUAAAAAUGCUCCUCUUGAACAAUCAAAAUCUACUUUAUACGUGAACAAAGGGGAUGAUUCGUAAAGAUAAUUCAUCAAUGUUUGAUUACUUUCAGAAAGAUAGACUUCAUUUGAUCUCGUCCCAAAGCAUAAUUUCACUUUGAAUUUGAAAAAGAAUAAUGAAGUUCAUACGAUGCUGUUGUGACCUUUUUUUUUUGUUUUCUUUUUUUCUCGACGUUGUUUUGUGAAUCAUAAGGGUUAAUUUAGUACGGUGGGUUCGCUUGUAUGAAGCGUACUUAUUGUACCAUUCUGUUGCAAGUAAUGAAAAAACGCUAUAAUUUUUUUUAGGUUUCUACAAGUAUUAUGUUAUCUUAUAUCUAACUGUGCAUCUCUAUUCUUUGCUCUCAGUUCAGGUUCUCUAAAAGUAUAUUAAUUAUGAAAAGCAUUAAAGGUUCCGAAACUCUAUUUUGCGGGGAAAAAGAACCUCCAUUUUUGGUUUUUUAUUAUCAUAAGAGGUUUUACUAUGCUCGUAAUAACUUAAUCGAAAUUAAACAUAUCACUGGUCUACAUUUUUUUAUCAGAUUUUGUGCCUUGCUAAUUAAGAUGAGUAUCACCAUCAAAUCAACAAGCUUAUACCUUCAAAGAAAAAUAGACUAUAAGUCGGGAGAAAGAAGAAGAAAAAAAAAAAGAAGCUUCGCAAUUUAUGCUGUUGGUUGUGAGUUCAUGAAACAAAUAAAAAUAUGAAAUCAAACAUUUAUUCAAAAUUUAAAAUUAAAAAAAAAACUCUAUAUCUACAGUAAUCUGUUCAAACCACAUAGGUGGAGCAAUAUAGUUCCAAGACGUGGUUUUAAAACAUGUCUUUGUGAUAAACAAUAUCGUGAUACUUGCGCCAAUUCCCAUGGCAAUAAUUGCCUACAUUUAUCCAAGAUCCAUGGCCAGGUUUAGAAUGUGCUAGUCUUCUUUCACUUUCAUAAAUAACCACUACUAGGUAAUCAGAGUGUCGGUCUAAAUUUUUCGGAGAUACAACGUCAAUGUAUGUGCCCGGAGUUGAAGCUGAACGCGCUUAAAUAUGUUCGGAAUUUGAAGUUGAACGCCUGGAAAAGGAUGCAGACUGAAGAAAGGCAAUUCCUGGAAUUUGUCUUUGGUAAGAAAACAUGGCUGCUUAUGCCCUUUGAAAGACUGAAGAAACCAAAUUGAUUAUUGCUGCAAUUUAGUGGCACAUGUACGAGGAGAGGCAUCCAAUUAAACUUGUUCAUAAAAGUAUUGCUGAUAGUUGCAGCCGAUCUCCAGACAAAAUCUUCGUACAAUUUUAUCCGCCAGCAAUUUCGACCAAGAGACCUUGAUGCAGUUCAGACCAAUUCGCCAGUUGAACAUCAAGUUGCCUAGGCAUUGAGAAUUAGGUCAAUAAAAUAUAUCCUGGGUCACUUACAAAAGAUGAAAUAAGUGAAAAAGGAAAGAUGACGUAAUAAUUUCUUAGUGAGAAAAGUUAGUUAAUUUUCAAUUGCUUUCAUUGUUUUGAUAAUUUUCAAAACAUUUCAUUGCUUUCAUUGCGUAAUUAAGCUUUUUUUGCUUCAAAAUAUUUCAAAUUGUGUUUGUGGGACUACUAAACAAUUAGGACACAACAAUGUUUCGUUCUGGUCUUUUUUUUUUUUUACUUUUUAAUUUAUUUUAAGAAAAUCUUUGUCCAUCUCUCAUCCUGCCAAAUAUAUCGUCUCGUCUUGUUAUCUAGAAUAAUUCUUCAUGCAUCAAUGAGUUUUGACAAAUUUUUAUCUUUUAAAAGUUGUUGUAAUUCAAUAUAGCUAAAAUCUUAAAUACAUACAUGUAGAAUAAUCUAAGCAUUACCUUAUUCGGGGAAAAUCGAGAUUAGAAUCAAUCAAAGCAAUGAUACCUUAUAUCAGUGAGAUAUAUGCAAGACUCACCCAUUGGUACAAACGAAAAUGAUCAAAGUGGAAGCAAAAAUGGAAUCCUCAAAUGUGGUGAUAAUUUAGAUGAUCUCCACUCUCCAUUUGGUUUCAUCUAAUAAGUUAGUGUUUAAUUAAGAAUUUAUUACUCAUUUUAUUAUGAUAUUAAUCAACUGCCGUCCCUUCCAUUAGUUCAUUAUUUUUGAUGGAUUACGAAAGACAGACAAUAAAAUUCUCCAAAACUGUUGUAAGAGUAAUAUUGUAAAAGUUACAUAAAAGUGAGGAUAAGGAUAAUUUGAGGUAUGUUUCAAGAUAUAAAGAUUAAAUAAAUUCUUAACUCAAAAUAAAGAGAUUUAUUUUUUUUAAAAGAGAUUAAAAUGUCAUGAUAAAUAAAUAAGGGAGGUGAUAUUCUGGGCUCUCCCCUGGCUUUUUGUGAUAACAUCUUAAAUUAAUAUAAAUAGUUAAAAUUUUAUUAAAAAAUAAAUUUUUACCUAAUACUCUUUGACAUAGCUAGGAAUAUAGCCUACUUGCAAGAGACUUACAUUCGUUUGCACAGCCCUUUCGUGAAUAUAAAAUUGCUGCCGAAUAAGCAUCUAAUUAAAAGAAUUAGGAAUUUGUCAACGGUAUAAAUUAAAUAUAAAAAACGAGUAAAAGAAUUUGUCAAUGGGAUAUGGGGGGCUAUGGCUUCAAUCGUAGGGGUGGGCAAAUUUCGGAUUCCGAAUCCGAUCGGAUUUUGGAUAAUUCGGAUUGGGAAAAAAUCCAUCCAAAUUCAAUCCGAACCUUAAAUCUGUUUCGAUCCGAGAUAAUUUCGGAUCCGGAUCAGAUUCGGAUGAGUUUGAAUUUCAGAUUAUAUUUCAAGUUCGGAUUAUAUUUUGGAUUCGGAUUAAUUCGGGUUUGGGACCUUUUUACAAUUCUCACAAAAAAAUUAUGAAAUUUAUAAUUAAUGAAAAAUAAUUUCCAUGAUGCUGUCAACAAUAAUUAAUAUUUUGAAAACGCAAUAACGGAAUUUUCAAAAAAAAGAAAAAGAAAACACAGGAACGGUAUUGAUAAAGAAUUUUCAUUAGCCAUUUGUGACUGCUAACUAAAUUGUAACAACUAAGUAAAAUAUAAUAAUAAUAAUAAUACAUGCGGGUAUAUUCAAAGCAACUAAAUCACUUGCGAAUGAUCAAGACAAAUCGUAUAAACAAGUAAAAAAUUCAAAGUUUCAAACGCAAAUCGUCGGGGGCUAUCGGAUUAGUGGAUUACCAUUAACAAGACGAGGUUUAUGUCGGUGUGAGUUGCUCAUUGUGGGUCUGGAUGAUGUCGCGAUGGCUGGGUUUGUGCCAACUAUGAUCCAGCUAGGUUUGUAUCGAAUCUGAUCUCGUCUAGAGGACGUUGUGGCGGCUGGGUUUGUGUCGAAUUCAUUCGGUUUGUCUCGUCGGCGACAUGGUUGUUGGUUGGCUCGUCAGGUUGUGGCCCGUGGGUGUGGUGUGGUUUGUUGUCGUGGAUUGACUUAUCAAAGGGCGUGCGACGAUGGUGUGUGGUUUUGUCAUUUGGAAAUUGAGUUUUGAUUUUUCAUUUUCGUUUUUUUAAAAAAAAAUUUUUGGAUUAUUCGGAUUGAACUGAAUCUUAUCCGAUCCAAAUCAAAUCCGAUCAGAUUACAAAAAUUUCAUCCGAUUGGAUUUUAAAGCAAAUCCAAAUCCGAUCCGAACAAAUUCGGAUCGAAUUGGAUUAGAUCGGAUCUAUCCGAAUCUGAUCCAAUGUCCACCCCUAUUCAAUCGGUUUCUGCAAUGGUUAAUGGCAUAUUUUUGCUCAUCGUCACCACUGCAUUCACUAAUCAUUUGUGCACGUGAAUUGUUUUUGAGCAUUUAUUUUGCCUUCGUUAAAAUUGGGCAUGUAAAAAUUUCAUGAAAAAUGGCCAAAGUGGCUGGCUAGGUGAUAUAAUGGAUGGUUACAACUCAAACCUAGCAAUAAAUGAAUGUCCGACAAGCAUUCAAAUGAAUGUAUAAAACCAAUGAGAUUAGAAUAUCUAUUUAUAAUAGACUAAUUAAAAUACGAUUCAAAUAUAAGGUAAAUAGUCUCUCUAUUAAUUUUUUAUUGUUUCAGGUAGGGUUGUCGAGCCUUUGUCCGGGCUUCUGUAAGCCCAUUUCCAGCCCUCUUAUAUGAUUGGAUUAGAUCAGGCUCGGCCCACCAGGCCGGGCUAAAUCUUGAGCUCUUUUUAAAUAAAAAAAAGUUGAAUUUUAAGUUUUUGAAGUUAAUAUAUAUACACACACACUUGUACUUAAAUAAUUUAUAAAUUUUUUAAAAGCCAAAUAAUAAAAAUAUUGACAUGUAAAAGUACAAUUUUUUUUUCAUGUGGAAUAAUUAUCUCAUUUCUACCUUUUUGGUCCUAUAGAUAUUUCCUCAUUUCAUCUUUGGUAUUAGAGCAGUAGUAAAAAGACACACGAUUAAAGAUAAAUGUGACAUUUUUACCGACAAAUUAACUAUUUGGAUCUAAGAUCUAGCUCUAAUGGUAAAGACUAGUUUUUAUAGAAUUCAGGUCCUGGGUUUGACUUCCAAUUGCGUGGGUAAGCUAAUAAUAAUAAUAAUAAUAAUAACAAAUUAACUAGUUUUAAUUUGCAAAGGUCUUAGAUAAUCAAUUCGUUUGUAAAAACAUCAAAUUUAUUUUCAGUAAUGAAAUUUUCAAGUCACUGGUUUUAGCACUAGGAAUGAAUUAAAUAGAGUAAUGAUAAACAUCUUAAAAUUUUAUCCCAAAUGAUAUGACAUGUAAUGUGUCAUUUAUUAAGUGGUUGGUGAUUUUUCAUAAAUUUUAAGUCGAUUAAUUAUAUUAUUUCACCAACCAAUAAAUGAACAUCACAUCAUUUGAGAAUGAAUUUUAAGGUAAAAUUUUAGAUAUAUAUCAUUACUCAAUUAUUUUUUAUAGUAUAAAAUCUAAUAGGGACCAAAAAUAUAAAAACCAAUUAAGAAAAAAAAAGUCAAUUCCUAAUUAGAAGAAUGAAAGUGUCAUUCUCCUAUAAUCAUUUCUCAAGUUUUUAUAUAAAUUUAUUAAUGCAAAAUUUUAAAAGAAAAUCGGUACCUAAAACUAACGCCUUUGACAAUGCUGCCAAUAUCACUCACAACUUACAAGAAUAAAGAAUUUGUAUUAAAUUUAUUAAUGUUCUCAAAGAAUUUUUAGUUUUGACUUUACAUUCUCAGACCCAUUUGUCACAUAACAUCUUAGCUGAUUAACAAAGCCCUUUCGUGAGAAUAUUAAAACUGCUCUCGAAUAAGCAUCUUAACAACCCCGUUUUUGACAUACAUGCAUGCCUCCUCAUGUCAGCAAAUUUGAAACAUAAAAGAUAAUUUCAAUCGAUGUGAGAGUUGGGAGUAUUUUAUAGCUUUUGACCUCAUUAAUUAUGAGUAAGAGAAUAUUUCUACGUCACUAAUGAUUAAAAUGAUCACUAUAUAUAUAAAGGGUAGCAAAGUAUGUUUAACAUCAAGUCAGAAAACACAAUUUUUAGGAAAUGGGAACUCGGGGACAGGCGAGGCAAUGGCCUCAAUUGUUUUGUGCUAUAGCAUUUUUGCUUAUAGCCACCACGACCAAGGCAUCGGCUGAUGAUUAUGCCUCAGCACCACCACCAAAGUAUUCUUCUCCACCUCUUUACUACUACAAAUCACCACCUCCUCCUUCUCCCUCUCCACCUCCACCAUAUUAUUACAAGUCUCCCCCACCACCAUCUCCGUCUCCUCCACCACCUUACUACUACACGUCACCACCGCCACCAGUGCAUUCUCCCCCGCCACCUUACUACUACAAGUCACCACCGCCACCAGUGCAUUCUCCUCCGCCACCUUACUACUACAAAUCUCCGCCGCCACCAAAGCAUUCUCCCCCGCCACCUUACUACUAUAAGUCACCACCACCACCAGUGCAUUCUCCCCCGCCACCUUAUUACUACAAAUCUCCGCCGCCACCAAAGUAUUCUCCCCCGCCACCUUAUUAUUACAAAUCUCCGCCGCCACCAAAGCAUUCUCCUCCACCACCUUACUACUACAAAUCUCCACCACCACCAAACCAUUCUCCCCCACCACCUUACUACUAUAAGUCACCACCACCACCAAAGCAUUCUCCCCCACCUCCUUAUUACUACAAAUCUCCACCACCACCAAUGUAUUCUCCACCACCACCUUACUAAUACAAAUCUCCGCCAUCGCCAUCUCUAUCCCCGCCUCCAUCUUACAUUUAUAAAUUCCCACAACCAUCAUCUAUACCACCUCCACCAUGACCUCUAUCACGGUCAUUAUUGCUUCCUUACUACUCCAAGUCACCGCCAACUCCUUUAUCUCCACCUUCACCGUAUUACUACAAUCACCCCCACCUCCCAAAGACUACUACGUUCAGUAUCCCUUCUUGAAACAAGUUUAAAAUUCAAUAAGAAUAAAUUUGUUCCUUUGGUUGCCUUUUUUUUUAAUUUUUUACUAAGUUCAAUGCCCCUUCUUGAAACAAGUUUCAAAUUCAAUAAGAAUAAAUUUGUUCCUUUGGUUGCCUUUUUAUGCUUUUUUGUGUCAAUUUUUUUACAAAUAAUUUGUAAGAAGCGUUCAGUGCAUCAUUUGUCAUGUGCAAUAAAAAUCUUCUAACUUAAUGUAUCCCCAAAAAAAAAAAAAAAAAUUGUUCUAUAAGAAUUAUUCUAUUGUUUUAUCACAAAUGUGUUGUGGCGCAUAUAAUGCUCCCGGAUGAAGUAAUAUUAUGUCUUGAUGAACAAUCAUGCACAACAAUGAUCAUGUACAUAGUUCUUCCAACGUCAUGAUAAUGUCCAUGCACAUAAUAACAAACUUCUUCCUCAUAAUAUCAAAGAAAAUGAAGAUACAAGCCUCUUAUUCUUUAGUCAUUCACUCAAACAACAUUGUUUUAACUUAGGUUUUGAUCAAUCUUAAUGCUAAUAAAUGCUAACUACAUAUCAAAUACAAGAUCAACAAAAACCAGAUUUUAAAUUAAUCAGAAAAACAAACACUAGACUUAACCAAGCAGUUAAGCUUUAUUAUUCUCCCUCAGUAAAGGAUACAAAGAUGUAGGUGGAUUACAAGCUAUCACUGAAAAAAUAGAAAUCAUCUAAAAUGGUGAACAAAUGAGCUCUAAAUCUGUUGCACUCAUUUGUUCAACUAAGCAAUGAAAUUACCCUUUUCUAUUUUAACUGCUUGUCUACUUUAACACGGCAACUUUAAAUAACAACCUUCAACUUGAAAAAUUUGAGUAACCAGAGCCAUCAAUAACGGUAAAUCUUGACAAAAAUUUUAGUUUAAUUAAGGCCAUAAACAUAAUAUUAAAUAAUAAAAAAAAAAGGCCAUAAACAUAGUGUUGAAAUACCAUUAUACCUGUGAACGAACUUUUGAUGGUUAUUAAACUCAUGAACCCUCAAUUUUUGUAUUAUGAAUAUGCUCAUGGCCUAUCUUAGGUCUCCUCUAUGAACCACUUUUUUUUUAAAAAAAUUAUAUUCAUUAUGAUACUAAGGUAUAAGUAGAAGUAAAGUUCUUUUAAUAUUUUUGUAACCAGGAUGUGACAACCUAGGUGAUACGUGAAUUGGUUAUUUGCACAUUUUGCUACAUUUUUGUGAGUUUGCUUGCUGGUUUUCUCUUUGUUCCAACAAUUCACACAUAGGAUAAUCUCAUUUUAACAAAGAAAGAUACCACUAAAAUACAACAAAACAUGAUCAAUUCUAAUAUACUAGAAAACUUUUUUUUUUUGUUUGCCUUUUCAUAUAUUAGAGUUGUGUUUUUGUUAUCUUAUAGUGGCAUCUAUGCAGUUUAACUAAAUGAGAAUAUUCUCAUUUGAGAAUUAUUAAUAAGAGAGUAGUAGACAAAUGAUACCCAACUAUACUGCUUCACUAUUAACAACACAUCCAAUUGAGUAAUGAUAGAGAGUCAAUUCUAUCACCAAAUGAAAGCAAACAAAAGCUGAAAUAUUUUAGUGAAUAUCUUUAAAGUUUGAAUUAAUAAUAAAAUUGUCCCAAAAAACUGUCUUAAUGGAACUAAUGUGCGAUUUAUUUGUAGGGUGAAUAAAUAUCAUUUUCCAGAAAAAAAUAUAGUCAAAAUAUGGAAAGCUUGUUCUGCAAGUGGUUGAUAUUGAUGUACAUUAAUGUCAAAGAUACAUUAAGUGCAUGCCAAAUUCUAUUAUAAAAUUUAUAAAUGUAUAAGUAGAAGAUUUUAUAAAUUAAUUCCUGUAAAACGUCGGUUAUAUGAAUAAAUGGUGAAGAGAAAGCUGUAAUAAUUAUCGUAAUUACAAUUUUCUUGAGCACGCUUUGACGUACGAUUAACAAAAAAGGUCUGUAUAUGAGCAAUCGGCCGUACAUUAUCUUAACCACCUGAUUUUGUUUUUUUUUUUUGUAAUUUCAAUCUUGGCCGUUGGAGUCAAUGAAAAGAUCGUUCAAAUGGUAGAGAUUUGUCUAUUUGAUUAUUAACAUUAUGCUUCCCGAUGGUUAUCAAAAACCCAAACAAAUUAAAGAGUUAAAACUUUUAGCACAUAAGUCCGAAUUGUUUCAAAUUUAUGUUGUUUAAUCACUAGUGAGUCUCAAAAAAUAAAUUUAUUUUAAUAUUAUAUAUUUUAUUUAAAAGAAUUAAUUUUUUAUAUCAUUUAUUUUAUUAAAAAUAAAUAUUAUUGAAUACUAAUUAUUCUCAUUUUAUUUAAUAUUAUUUAGUUAUAGGCUUAUUAUUAUAUUUAAUUGUUCAAAAAACUAAAAAAAUUUAAAUAAAAUAAAGUAAUUGAUGGUUGUCGAAGCCAACAAAAAUAAAUUCCUACUCUAAAUAAAUUGUGUAUAGUGAUUGAGCAGGGUCGUGUCCACAGAGAUCGGUAAUUAUUUAAAUCCUUUUGAAACGUAAAACGUAAAAUGGGGGAAUUGUUGACAAUAAUAAAAAUCAAAUUAAAAUAACAAGAAUGCAAAUUAAAGUUGUAAUUCAAAUUGGAGAAAGCUCUGGUUGAAGGAAUUAACUCAGCUUGAUUCGACUACUGAUCAUUGAUUCAAAUAUAGAUUAUUAUUACUCAUGAAUAGACCGGUUAUAGCUACUGAGACCCUCUAAUAGCCAAUCUCUCCUUAACUAGUCGAUAACCAAGGUACGACCGUUGGAUAUUCCCUAAUCAAUAGACAACCCUAGAUACGAUCAUAGAAUUUAAUCAAUUGACAGCCUGAAAAACCAGAAAGACCCAAAUCCUAAUCAACACAUAUGAUGAUUCAUUUAAAUUAAAUUGUUUAUUCUCACAACACAACUCUCUGCUAUGUCAUUUGUCACAAACAUUAAAUUCUUCAUACGAUGAAUCCCUUAAUUGACAAUAGAUUAAGUUGAUAAUUAAAUAGUGGCCAACUGCUGUACGGCCAAGGCGGAUGUACGGUACAGCAGAAUACAUUCCCUUACUCAACUAACAAAGUCUUUCAUUUAUCUGAAAACAGUUCCAAUUUUGAAAUAUCAGUGUCAAACUUUUCCCAGCAACAUAUUUAUCAUCUCUCCACAUUAUCCUUAACUGACAGCAGCUUGGAAGAUCUUCAAUCAGCAAGUUCAGAAAGCAAUGAACAAGUACCUUCUGUUUCUGCACACACAAAUAAUCUGCAUCAACAAGAGCAUUCUNNNNNNNNNNNNNNNNNNNNNNNNNNNNNNNNNNNNNNNNNNNNNNNNNNNNNNNNNNNNNNNNNNNNNNNNNNNNNNNNNNNNNNNNNNNNNNNNNNNNNNNNNNNNNNNNNNNNNNNNNNNNNNNNNNNNNNNNNNNNNNNNNNNNNNNNNNNNNNNNNNNNNNNNNNNNNNNNNNNNNNNNNNNNNNNNNNNNNNNNNNNNNNNNNNNNNNNNNNNNNNNNNNNNNNNNNNNNNNNNNNNNNCAGCAGAAUAAAAUAUUAUUAAUUUUAUUUUUUUUAUUUUGCUAUCUUACUAAUAAUUGGCAAUAAUAAUAAUAAUAAUAAUAAUAAUAAUAAUAUCUUUAAGGUUAAUGAUUUUAUUUUCUAAUUAAUAUGGAUAAUUUUAGAUUUUUAUAAUAUAUAUGACGAUAAACACGAAAUUAAGUAUAAAACUAAUUCUCAAAAUCCGAUUUUAAAAAUCUACUUUUUCCCUACUUUUUAAAAUCUUCAGUAAGAUAAGGUAAAUUUACCAAAAGUGAUUUCUGAAAAUAUUUAUCAAAUAAUAAAAUUAAUUUGUAACUUUUCAAAAUAACUUUUAAAUCUCGCAAAAAAAAAUCCUAAAUGAGUCCUAAGUACCUAACUUUAUGACGGUCAACAAAUAUGGUAUAAAAGUCUUCUACACCUACUGGGCAUUUGAAUGGGCCAUCUGUCUUAGCUCUUACCUCUUAAAAUGGGCUAAAAAUCAGAGAGUCAGUUAACUAAUAUGGGCUAAAAUUUGGGUACACCUCUCGGGCAUGUUAAUGGGCCAUCAUCUUUCACAGGUUUCUAAAGGGUAAAGGCUUUCUGUCUCCCAAGACUUCGACUAGUGAAAUUUAAUCGAUAUAAAUAUGUAGCUACCUAUAUUUAUAUAAGAAAAUGAUGUUCUCAUAAAUUUGCGUGCAAAGAUUUGCACAAAACGGUGCGUUUUGUGCAGCUUUAAAAAUGCUCUUCGUACGUGCACCAAACAACACACAAGCACGCCAAUUCACAACAUCAUUUUCCCACUCGCGUCUGCCUCCUUUCACUGCAACAAAAACCCAGCAGCUUCGUUCUCCACACAGCAAGAAGUCUCCUUAUUAAUAUAAUAUUAUAUAAUAAACUCAACAGAAGUCUCCUUUCUUCCUCCAUUUUUCCUCACGAGAUAGCUCCGAUCUCUCUCCCUCCGUCCUCCUUUCUUCCUUACAAGACAGCUCGGGUCUCUCUCUCUGGCCUCCUUUCUCCCUCACAAGAUAGUUCGGAUCUCUCUUUCCAGUCUCCACGCCGCUAAUAGUCCCAGUUCUAACCUCUCUCGCCCCGCAGCAACCAUAAGAUCUCUCUCUCACCCGUUUCAAUUCAUUGCUCUAAUUGAAAUCUUUAACUCGUUUAGGACAUUGUGCUGAAUUACCUAUGGAUGGUGGUGGUCUUAUGCUUGAGUGUUGUAAAUUAGAAUCAAAUUAUGCAAAACCUGAUGCCUUUGGGAAUCAUGUUUAUUUCAAGCUUCUAUGUUGUGAUUUGAUUAUUUGAUGAAGCACCUGGAAAAUGUAGUUUGCUCCCUCAAAUUAUUUUACUCUGUUGAAUAAAUUGUAUUUGCCAUUAUUUGAAAAGAAUUUAAAAAAAAAUUACAGCCCCGAAACAUUGAGCUUAUGCUAUAAUUUAAGCAUCUCCCUCAUUUAUAGCACAUUUAUUUUCAUAAUUUACGCGACAAUGGAGAACGGAGCCGAGACUGUUAGUGGCAUGGGGAUGAGAGAGAAAAAUAUGAGCUGUUUCGUGAGGUUUUGUUAGGUUUCGUGAGGGAGAAAGGAGAUGGGAGAGAGAGACGCUGAGUUUUGUUGCUCCCCUCACUUGUGUGUGUUUGGUGUUAAAACUUUGCAGCAAAGAGUGGCUUUUAUACUUUGCACAAAACGCACCGUUUUGUGCAAAGUUUUGUGCAAAGUGUUGUGAGAACAUCAUUUUCCAUUUAAAUAUUGGCUUUUCAUUUUUUUUCAAAUGAGAAUUGAUCCAGUGUGCACCAUCAUGCACAGCACAAGGUAUAUUUUCAUCAGUGGGCGCUAGGUCUCAUAGAUUGGUUCUCUCUAAUAAGAACAUGUCGUCUGUUGUCCCGCGCUAGAUCGAAUGCGUUUUCAAAUUUGUCAAAUUACAUUUUGAGCAUGUCAUAGUGGACGUUAUUACAAAGUCGUCAAUCUCAAUACAAUAAUCAUGACAUCAGGUUUUGAGAAUGUGAAUAAAACUCAUAUUUAUUUGAUAAAAUAUAAUUUAAAAAUAAAAAUAAAAUAUGUAUAUUCUAUAUAAUUUGAUAAUAAAAAAUAGAAAUCUCAUUUUUAUAUUGGGUUGGGAAUGAGGAUUCCUAUUUCUUGAACUGACUUUUAUAUCUCUCUAUUUUUUUCAUAUUUUUUAAAUUAUUCUCGUUUAAAUCACAAUUAAUUUGAUUACUGCUGUACGGCCAAGGCGGAUGCAAUAGAAUUGCACCUACAAAAGUAAAACAUAAGUAAAUCACUAUUAUUAAGUGCAAAACAUUGAUAUUAAGGGAAGUAAAUAAUGCAAAACUAGUGCAUAAAUUGCACUCUAACAGUAAUCAGUAAUCAGCAUUAAAAAUUAAAUUAAAUUAAAUUUUUUUGUUUUUAAUAUUAUUUAGUUAUAGACUUAUUAUUAUAUUUAUUCGUUCAUAAAACUAAAUAAUGUUAAAUCAAAUAAAAUAAUCAGGAAUGGUUCUUAAAAAAUUAAUAUUAUUUAUUUUAUUUUAUUUAAUAUUAUUUAGUCAUAGCCUAUUAUUCUGUUUAUUUUUUGAAAAUUAAAUAAUAUUAAAUAAAAAUCCCCCCUUUUCACAAUAGAUUCCUCCCUUCAAUACUCUCUCUCUCCUCUCUUUUAGAAUUCUAUUUAAAAUAAAAUACUAAUAUCUGAAAUAUUAAAUUCGUAAUUACAAAAAUAACCAAAAAUACAAAAUACGUUAAACUAAAAACUGCAGGUCCGCAGUUGACAGCACGCGCCCACGCCUUAUCAACAAAGUUCUUCUGACGCUCAUAAUUUCUCCAAGAGAACAAUCAUCCUUAAACAUCAUCUUAUAGCUCAAUUUUAUCAUCAAUCAAUAGAAUUACACCUACAAAAGUAAAACACAAGUAAAACAUUAUUAUUAAGUGCAAAACAUCGAUAUUAAGGGAAGUAAACAAUGCAAAACUAGUGCAUAAAUUGCACUCUAACAAAUUCCCCCACACCAAGAUGAUGCUUGUCCUCAAGCAUAUAACUCAAGACUAAUCUCAAAUCUCCACUAAAUUCUCAUCUCAACUCAUCCAAAAAUAAUUUUAAGCAAGCAUACCUCAAGAAAUUAAGUCGAUCAACAUUCGAGAGACAAGGAUUUUUAAAGCAUAGAAUCUCAUAAGAUAGAAUAAGAACAUUCAACCACCAAGAAGAUCCAUUCAAAAUUCAAGUGCAACAAGAUGUAAUAGCCCUCUCAAUAACUUCACUCCAUGCACUCAAAGUGUUUAGGGUAUCAUUUAUGCACUCAAAUCAAAUCAAAGAAUGCUAUUACCAUAAGCUUGCUCAUAUAUCACAUCUCAAUCCACAAAACAUGAAUAAAAUGAAAAAAUCUAAGGGUCUUAAAAGGGUUGUAAUGGGGUUAAAUAGGUUAAAUGAAAAAGAAAGGUCUAUGAAAGAAAAAGAGAUCAAAAUGAGAAGAAUGAACUCAUUGAAUGAACUUAUGAUAUCAAAAUGCUCCUUGGCCGUACAGCAGGAAUGGUUCUUAAAAAAUUAAUAUUAUUUAUUUUAUUUUAUUUAAUAUUAUUUAGUCAUAGCCUAUUAUUCUGUUUAUUUUUUGAAAAUUAAAUAAUAUUAAAUAAAAUAGAAUAGAAAAUGUGAGUCCUUAAAAAUAAAAAUUAUUUUUAAUAUUAUUUAUUUUAUUUAAAAGAAUAAAUUUUUUAAUAUUUUUAUUUUAUUAAAAAAUAUUAUUUAAUAUUAUCUAGUCAUAGGCUUAUUAUUAUAUUUCUUCUUUUAGAAAGUUAAAUAGUAUUAAAUGAAAUAAAAUUACAUUUUAGAAGGUCAUUAGCCAAAGCACAUAAACUUAUAAACAAAUGGAAAUAAAAAAGGUAAAUAAUAUUCAAUAAAAUAAAAUUACAUUUUAAAAGGUCACCAACCAAAGCACAUAAUAUUAUAACAAAAAUGUAAAUAAAAAAGAAAGUAAGAGAUUCAAUGAAAUUUAACAUCACAAAAGACAAUUUCAAAAAUUGGGGGUAGCUUGCAACUGUUGCAAAGUGGCUGGUUCCAUAAUUUUGAGAUAAUGUUUCGGUUUCAAAUAUUGUUAUCGAUACCUAAUUAUAAGUAAUAAAAAAAUAUUGUAUAAUUUUUUUACCAACAUUUACAAUACAUUUUAUUUUGAUUUCUGAAAAAAAUAGAUAAAACACAAAUUAAUUAUUUUAACCCUCUAUUCUCUCAAUAUUUAAACUCGAAUAAUCAGUUAAAAGUUGCUCGAGAAUGUUUAAAAGCCAUUUAAGUAUACCACGUCAUUCAUGUUUUGCAAUCAUUCAAUUGUUAAUAAGUUUCCCAUGUGCUGAAAAUAAAUAAAAAUGCACGUGCAUAUGUCAUAUUGUCUCCGAAACCUCACAGCGGAAUGAGUGUAGUACUUGCAAUGCAUGUACUUUAGACUUUGUAUUUCUCUUAUUUAAAUGAUCAAUAAUUUUUCUUUGUCCUUUAAUUAGACGUCAACAGUCGAAGUUGUGGGCAAGUAGUAGGCUAUAUAUAAUAAUUUCCUGGAGAUCUUCCGUCUUCUAAGACAUUGCAAAUGCCAAACGUGAUAACUAUUUUGAUAAUUCAAAUACUACAUAAAAUAUAUGAAGUGUCAGACAAGUCAAAAGAAUUGAUUCUUCACAAUUGUAUAUACGUAUACACACACUUUGCCCAAAUCCCAUUGUAUCCAGGCUGUAAUUUUUAUAUUAAACGAACAUAUUUUAUUUUAUGUCAGCAAUAUUGAUGCAGGCUGGUGGAACAACAGCUUCAGGAUGGUCAACUACCCUUCGGAUCAUUGCAAGUGGGAUGGCAUCACUUGCAAUUCAGAUGGAACCAUAAUCGGGCUAAAAUUAUCAGGGUAUGAUGUUGACUUCAAAAGGUAGUCUUCGUAAAAUUAUCAUGGUAUAAUAUACGUAUUUAUUUUCGCAUACAUAAAUAAAUAACAAAAUUGUAAUUAAUUGGAUACAACUUCAGCUUUUGGACUGGUUUGUGAAAAUCGGAAAAAUUUAAAAAUGCUCCUCUUGAACAAUCAAAAUCUACUUUAUACGUGAACAAAGGGGAUGAUUCGUAAAGAUAAUUCAUCAAUGUUUGAUUACUUUCAGAAAGAUAGACUUCAUUUGAUCUCGUCCCAAAGCAUAAUUUCACUUUGAAUUUGAAAAAGAAUAAUGAAGUUCAUACGAUGCUGUUGUGACCUUUUUUUUUUGUUUUCUUUUUUUCUCGACGUUGUUUUGUGAAUCAUAAGGGUUAAUUUAGUACGGUGGGUUCGCUUGUAUGAAGCGUACUUAUUGUACCAUUCUGUUGCAAGUAAUGAAAAAACGCUAUAAUUUUUUUUAGGUUUCUACAAGUAUUAUGUUAUCUUAUAUCUAACUGUGCAUCUCUAUUCUUUGCUCUCAGUUCAGGUUCUCUAAAAGUAUAUUAAUUAUGAAAAGCAUUAAAGGUUCCGAAACUCUAUUUUGCGGGGAAAAAGAACCUCCAUUUUUGGUUUUUUAUUAUCAUAAGAGGUUUUACUAUGCUCGUAAUAACUUAAUCGAAAUUAAACAUAUCACUGGUCUACAUUUUUUUAUCAGAUUUUGUGCCUUGCUAAUUAAGAUGAGUAUCACCAUCAAAUCAACAAGCUUAUACCUUCAAAGAAAAAUAGACUAUAAGUCGGGAGAAAGAAGAAGAAAAAAAAAAAGAAGCUUCGCAAUUUAUGCUGUUGGUUGUGAGUUCAUGAAACAAAUAAAAAUAUGAAAUCAAACAUUUAUCCAAAAUUUAAAAUUAAAAAAAAACUCUAUAUCUACAGUAAUCUGUUCAAACCACAUAGGUGGAGCAAUAGAGUUCCAAGACGUGGUUUUAAAACAUGUCUUUGUGAUAAACAAUAUCGUGAUACUUGCGCCAAUUCCCAUGCCAAUAAUUGCCUACAUUUAUCCAAGAUCCAUGGCCAGGUUUAGAAUGUGCUAGUCUUCUUUCACUUUCAUAAAUAACCACUACUAGGUAAUCAGAGUGUCGGUCUAAAUUUUUCGGAGAUACAACGUCAAUGUAUGUGCCCGGAGUUGAAGCUGAACGCGCUUAAAUAUGUUCGGAAUUUGAAGUUGAACGCCUGGAAAAGGAUGCAGACUGAAGAAAGGCAAUUCCUGGAAUUUGUCUUUGGUAAGAAAACAUGGCUGCUUAUGCCCUUUGAAAGACUGAAGAAACCAAAUUGAUUAUUGCUGCAAUUUAGUGGCACGUGUACAAGGAGAGGCAUCCGAUUAAACUUGUUCAUAAAAUUAUUGCUGAUAGUUGCAGCCGAUCUCCAUGAAGUACAAACCCAACGCAAAGAAACAAAGUGUUCGUACAAUUUUAUCCGCCAGCAAUUUCGACCAAGAGACCUUGAUGCAGUUCAGACCAAUUCGCCAGUUGAACAUCAAGUUGCCUAGGCAUUGAGAAUUAGGUCAAUAAAAUAUAUCCUGGGUCACUUACAAAAGAUGAAAUAAGUGAAAAAGGAAAGAUGACGUAAUAAUUUCUUAGUGAGAAAAGUUAGUUAAUUUUCAAUUGCUUUCAUUGUUUUGAUAAUUUUCAAAACAUUUCAUUGCUUUCAUUGCGUAAUUAAGCUUUUUUUGCUUCAAAAUAUUUCAAAUUGUGUUUGUGGGACUACUAAACAAUUAGGACACAACAAUGUUUCGUUCUGGUCUUUUUUUUUUUUUACUUUUUAAUUUAUUUUAAGAAAAUCUUUGUCCAUCUCUCAUCCUGCCAAAUAUAUCGUCUCGUCUUGUUAUCUAGAAUAAUUCUUCAUGCAUCAAUGAGUUUUGACAAAUUUUUAUCUUUUAAAAGUUGUUGUAAUUCAAUAUAGCUAAAAUCUUAAAUACAUACAUGUAGAAUAAUCUAAGCAUUACCUUAUUCGGGGAAAAUCGAGAUUAGAAUCAAUCAAAGCAAUGAUACCUUAUAUCAGUGAGAUAUAUGCAAGACUCACCCAUUGGUACAAACGAAAAUGAUCAAAGUGGAAGCAAAAAUGGAAUCCUCAAAUGUGGUGAUAAUUUAGAUGAUCUCCACUCUCCAUUUGGUUUCAUCUAAUAAGUUAGUGUUUAAUUAAGAAUUUAUUACUCAUUUUAUUAUGAUAUUAAUCAACUGCCGUCCCUUCCAUUAGUUCAUUAUUUUUGAUGGAUUACGAAAGACAGACAAUAAAAUUCUCCAAAACUGUUGUAAGAGUAAUAUUGUAAAAGUUACAUAAAAGUGAGGAUAAGGAUAAUUUGAGGUAUGUUUCAAGAUAUAAAGAUUAAAUAAAUUCUUAACUCAAAAUAAAGAGAUUUAUUUUUUUUAAAAGAGAUUAAAAUGUCAUGAUAAAUAAAUAAGGGAGGUGAUAUUCUGGGCUCUCCCCUGGCUUUUUGUGAUAACAUCUUAAAUUAAUAUAAAUAGUUAAAAUUUUAUUAAAAAAUAAAUUUUUACCUAAUACUCUUUGACAUAGCUAGGAAUAUAGCCUACUUGCAAGAGACUUACAUUCGUUUGCACAGCCCUUUCGUGAAUAUAAAAUUGCUGCCGAAUAAGCAUCUAAUUAAAAGAAUUAGGAAUUUGUCAACGGUAUAAAUUAAAUAUAAAAAACGAGUAAAAGAAUUUGUCAAUGGGAUAUGGGGGGCUAUGGCUUCAAUCGUAGGGGUGGGCAAAUUUCGGAUUCCGAAUCCGAUCGGAUUUUGGAUAAUUCGGAUUGGGAAAAAAUCCAUCCAAAUUCAAUCCGAACCUUAAAUCUGUUUCGAUCCGAGAUAAUUUCGGAUCCGGAUCAGAUUCGGAUGAGUUUGAAUUUCAGAUUAUAUUUCAAGUUCGGAUUAUAUUUUGGAUUCGGAUUAAUUCGGGUUUGGGACCUUUUUACAAUUCUCACAAAAAAAUUAUGAAAUUUAUAAUUAAUGAAAAAUAAUUUCCAUGAUGCUGUCAACAAUAAUUAAUAUUUUGAAAACGCAAUAACGGAAUUUUCAAAAAAAAGAAAAAGAAAACACAGGAACGGUAUUGAUAAAGAAUUUUCAUUAGCCAUUUGUGACUGCUAACUAAAUUGUAACAACUAAGUAAAAUAUAAUAAUAAUAAUAAUACAUGCGGGUAUAUUCAAAGCAACUAAAUCACUUGCGAAUGAUCAAGACAAAUCGUAUAAACAAGUAAAAAAUUCAAAGUUUCAAACGCAAAUCGUCGGGGGCUAUCGGAUUAGUGGAUUACCAUUAACAAGACGAGGUUUAUGUCGGUGUGAGUUGCUCAUUGUGGGUCUGGAUGAUGUCGCGAUGGCUGGGUUUGUGCCAACUAUGAUCCAGCUAGGUUUGUAUCGAAUCUGAUCUCGUCUAGAGGACGUUGUGGCGGCUGGGUUUGUGUCGAAUUCAUUCGGUUUGUCUCGUCGGCGACAUGGUUGUUGGUUGGCUCGUCAGGUUGUGGCCCGUGGGUGUGGUGUGGUUUGUUGUCGUGGAUUGACUUAUCAAAGGGCGUGCGACGAUGGUGUGUGGUUUUGUCAUUUGGAAAUUGAGUUUUGAUUUUUCAUUUUCGUUUUUUUAAAAAAAAAUUUUUGGAUUAUUCGGAUUGAACUGAAUCUUAUCCGAUCCAAAUCAAAUCCGAUCAGAUUACAAAAAUUUCAUCCGAUUGGAUUUUAAAGCAAAUCCAAAUCCGAUCCGAACAAAUUCGGAUCGAAUUGGAUUAGAUCGGAUCUAUCCGAAUCUGAUCCAAUGUCCACCCCUAUUCAAUCGGUUUCUGCAAUGGUUAAUGGCAUAUUUUUGCUCAUCGUCACCACUGAAUCCACUGAUCAUUUGUGCAUGUGAGUUGUUUUUGAGCAUUUAUUUUUCCCUUUAGAAGCAUAAGGAUAAGGCUAGUCUUCUUUUUGGGAGGACUUAUUGCUUCCAUUCGUUAAAAUUGGGCAUGUAAAAUGUCAAGAAAAAAUGGCCUAAGUGGCUAGCUAGAUGAUAUAAUGGAUGGUUACUACUCAAACCUAGCAAUAAAUGAAUGUCCGACAAGCAUUCAAAUGAAUGAAUAAAACCAAUCAGAUUAGAAUAUCUAUUUAUGAUAGAUUAAUGAAAAUACGAUUCAAAUAUAAGGUAAAUAAUCUCUCCAUUAAUUUUUUAUUGUUUCAGGCAGGGUUGCCAAGCCUCUGUCCGGGCUUCUAUAAGCUCAAUUCCAGCUCUCCUAUAUGAUUGAAUUAGAUCGGGCUAGGCCCUCGGACUUUUUAAUUAAAAAAGGUCGAUUUUUAAGUUUAUGAAGUUAAUACACUCACGCUUAUACUUUAAUAUUUUUAUUAUUUGGCUUUUAGAAUAUUAACGUGUAAAUUACUUUUUUUUUUCAAGUGAAAUAAUUAUCACAUUUUGUCUUCUUAGUAUAUAUUUCUACCUUUUUGUUCCUAUAGAUAUUUCCUCAUUUCAUCUUUGGUACUAGAGCGUAGUAAAAAAACACAUGAUUAAAGAUAAAUAUGACAUUUUAACUAACAAAUUAAUUAUUUGUAUCUAAGAUCUAGCUCUAGUGGUAAAGAUCAAUUUUCAUCGAAUUCAAGUCUUGGGUUUGAAUUUAAAUGCAUGGGUAAGUUAAUAAUAAUAAUAAUAAUAAUAAUAAUAAUAAUAAUAAUAAUAAUAAUAAUAAUAAUAAUAAUAAUAAUAAUAAUAAUAAUAAUAAUAAUAAUAAUAAUAAUAAUAAUAAUAAUAAUAAUAAUAAUAAUAAUAAUAAUAAUAAUAAUAAUAAUAAUAAUAAUAAUAAUAAUAAUAAUAAUAAUAAUAAUAAUAAUAAUAAUAAUAAUAAUAAUAAUAAUAAUAAUAAUAAUAAUAAUAAUAAUAAUAAUAAUAAUAAUAAUAAUAAUAAUAAUAAUAAUAAUAAUAAUAAUAAUAAUAAUAAUAAUAAUAAUAAUAAUAAUAAUAAUAAUAAUAAUAAUAAUAAUAAUAAUAAUAAUAAUAAUAAUAAUAAUAAUAAUAAUAAUAAUAAUAAUAAUAAUAAUAAUAAUAAUAAUAAUAAUAAUAAUAAUAAUAAUAAUAAUAAUAAUAAUAAUAAUAAUAAUAAUAAUAAUAAUAAUAAUAAUAAUAAUAAUAAUAAUAAUAAUAAUAAUAAUAAUAAUAAUAAUAAUAAUAAUAAUAAUAAUAAUAAUAAUAAUAAUAAUAAUAAUAAUAAUAAUAAUAAUAAUAAUAAUAAUAAUAAUAAUAAUAAUAAUAAUAAUAAUAAUAAUAAUAAUAAUAAUAAUAAUAAUAAUAAUAAUAAUAAUAAUAAUAAUAAUAAUAAUAAUAAUAAUAAUAAUAAUAAUAAUAAUAAUAAUAAUAAUAAUAAUAAUAAUAAUAAUAAUAAUAAUAAUAAUAAUAAUAAUAAUAAUAAUAAUAAUAAUAAUAAUAAUAAUAAUAAUAAUAAUAAUAAUAAUAAUAAUAAUAAUAAUAAUAAUAAUAAUAAUAAUAAUAAUAAUAAUAAUAAUAAUAAUAAUAAUAAUAAUAAUAAUAAUAAUAAUAAUAAUAAUAAUAAUAAUAAUAAUAAUAAUAAUAAUAAUAAUAAUAAUAAUAAUAAUAAUAAUAAUAAUAAUAAUAAUAAUAAUAAUAAUAAUAAUAAUAAUAAUAAUAAUAAUAAUAAUAAUAAUAAUAAUAAUAAUAAUAAUAAUAAUAAUAAUAAUAAUAAUAAUAAUAAUAAUAAUAAUAAUAAUAAUAAUAAUAAUAAUAAUAAUAAUAAUAAUAAUAAUAAUAAUAAUAAUAAUAAUAAUAAUAAUAAUAAUAAUAAUAAUAAUAAUAAUAAUAAUAAUAAUAAUAAUAAUAAUAAUAAUAAUAAUAAUAAUAAUAAUAAUAAUAAUAAUAAUAAUAAUAAUAAUAAUAAUAAUAAUAAUAAUAAUAAUAAUAAUAAUAAUAAUAAUAAUAAUAAUAAUAAUAAUAAUAAUAAUAAUAAUAAUAAUAAUAAUAAUAAUAAUAAUAAUAAUAAUAAUAAUAAUAAUAAUAAUAAUAAUAAUAAUAAUAAUAAUAAUAAUAAUAAUAAUAAUAAUAAUAAUAAUAAUAAUAAUAAUAAUAAUAAUAAUAAUAAUAAUAAUAAUAAUAAUAAUAAUAAUAAUAAUAAUAAUAAUAAUAAUAAUAAUAAUAAUAAUAAUAAUAAUAAUAAUAAUAAUAAUAAUAAUAAUAAUAAUAAUAAUAAUAAUAAUAAUAAUAAUAAUAAUAAUAAUAAUAAUAAUAAUAAUAAUAAUAAUAAUAAUAAUAAUAAUAAUAAUAAUAAUAAUAAUAAUAAUAAUAAUAAUAAUAAUAAUAAUAAUAAUAAUAAUAAUAAUAAUAAUAAUAAUAAUAAUAAUAAUAAUAAUAAUAAUAAUAAUAAUAAUAAUAAUAAUAAUAAUAAUAAUAAUAAUAAUAAUAAUAAUAAUAAUAAUAAUAAUAAUAAUAAUAAUAAUAAUAAUAAUAAUAAUAAUAAUAAUAAUAAUAAUAAUAAUAAUAAUAAUAAUAAUAAUAAUAAUAAUAAUAAUAAUAAUAAUAAUAAUAAUAAUAAUAAUAAUAAUAAUAAUAAUAAUAAUAAUAAUAAUAAUAAUAAUAAUAAUAAUAAUAAUAAUAAUAAUAAUAAUAAUAAUAAUAAUAAUAAUAAUAAUAAUAAUAAUAAUAAUAAUAAUAAUAAUAAUAAUAAUAAUAAUAAUAAUAAUAAUAAUAAUAAUAAUAAUAAUAAUAAUAAUAAUAAUAAUAAUAAUAAUAAUAAUAAUAAUAAUAAUAAUAAUAAUAAUAAUAAUAAUAAUAAUAAUAAUAAUAAUAAUAAUAAUAAUAAUAAUAAUAAUAAUAAUAAUAAUAAUAAUAAUAAUAAUAAUAAUAAUAAUAAUAAUAAUAAUAAUAAUAAUAAUAAUAAUAAUAAUAAUAAUAAUAAUAAUAAUAAUAAUAAUAAUAAUAAUAAUAAUAAUAAUAAUAAUAAUAAUAAUAAUAAUAAUAAUAAUAAUAAUAAUAAUAAUAAUAAUAAUAAUAAUAAUAAUAAUAAUAAUAAUAAUAAUAAUAAUAAUAAUAAUAAUAAUAAUAAUAAUAAUAAUAAUAAUAAUAAUAAUAAUAAUAAUAAUAAUAAUAAUAAUAAUAAUAAUAAUAAUAAUAAUAAUAAUAAUAAUAAUAAUAAUAAUAAUAAUAAUAAUAAUAAUAAUAAUAAUAAUAAUAAUAAUAAUAAUAAUAAUAAUAAUAAUAAUAAUAAUAAUAAUAAUAAUAAUAAUAAUAAUAAUAAUAAUAAUAAUAAUAAUAAUAAUAAUAAUAAUAAUAAUAAUAAUAAUAAUAAUAAUAAUAAUAAUAAUAAUAAUAAUAAUAAUAAUAAUAAUAAUAAUAAUAAUAAUAAUAAUAAUAAUAAUAAUAAUAAUAAUAAUAAUAAUAAUAAUAAUAAUAAUAAUAAUAAUAAUAAUAAUAAUAAUAAUAAUAAUAAUAAUAAUAAUAAUAAUAAUAAUAAUAAUAAUAAUAAUAAUAAUAAUAAUAAUAAUAAUAAUAAUAAUAAUAAUAAUAAUAAUAAUAAUAAUAAUAAUAAUAAUAAUAAUAAUAAUAAUAAUAAUAAUAAUAAUAAUAAUAAUAAUAAUAAUAAUAAUAAUAAUAAUAAUAAUAAUAAUAAUAAUAAUAAUAAUAAUAAUAAUAAUAAUAAUAAUAAUAAUAAUAAUAAUAAUAAUAAUAAUAAUAAUAAUAAUAAUAAUAAUAAUAAUAAUAAUAAUAAUAAUAAUAAUAAUAAUAAUAAUAAUAAUAAUAAUAAUAAUAAUAAUAAUAAUAAUAAUAAUAAUAAUAAUAAUAAUAAUAAUAAUAAUAAUAAUAAUAAUAAUAAUAAUAAUAAUAAUAAUAAUAAUAAUAAUAAUAAUAAUAAUAAUAAUAAUAAUAAUAAUAAUAAUAAUAAUAAUAAUAAUAAUAAUAAUAAUAAUAAUAAUAAUAAUAAUAAUAAUAAUAAUAAUAAUAAUAAUAAUAAUAAUAAUAAUAAUAAUAAUAAUAAUAAUAAUAAUAAUAAUAAUAAUAAUAAUAAUAAUAAUAAUAAUAAUAAUAAUAAUAAUAAUAAUAAUAAUAAUAAUAAUAAUAAUAAUAAUAAUAAUAAUAAUAAUAAUAAUAAUAAUAAUAAUAAUAAUAAUAAUAAUAAUAAUAAUAAUAAUAAUAAUAAUAAUAAUAAUAAUAAUAAUAAUAAUAAUAAUAAUAAUAAUAAUAAUAAUAAUAAUAAUAAUAAUAAUAAUAAUAAUAAUAAUAAUAAUAAUAAUAAUAAUAAUAAUAAUAAUAAUAAUAAUAAUAAUAAUAAUAAUAAUAAUAAUAAUAAUAAUAAUAAUAAUAAUAAUAAUAAUAAUAAUAAUAAUAAUAAUAAUAAUAAUAAUAAUAAUAAUAAUAAUAAUAAUAAUAAUAAUAAUAAUAAUAAUAAUAAUAAUAAUAAUAAUAAUAAUAAUAAUAAUAAUAAUAAUAAUAAUAAUAAUAAUAAUAAUAAUAAUAAUAAUAAUAAUAAUAAUAAUAAUAAUAAUAAUAAUAAUAAUAAUAAUAAUAAUAAUAAUAAUAAUAAUAAUAAUAAUAAUAAUAAUAAUAAUAAUAAUAAUAAUAAUAAUAAUAAUAAUAAUAAUAAUAAUAAUAAUAAUAAUAAUAAUAAUAAUAAUAAUAAUAAUAAUAAUAAUAAUAAUAAUAAUAAUAAUAAUAAUAAUAAUAAUAAUAAUAAUAAUAAUAAUAAUAAUAAUAAUAAUAAUAAUAAUAAUAAUAAUAAUAAUAAUAAUAAUAAUAAUAAUAAUAAUAAUAAUAAUAAUAAUAAUAAUAAUAAUAAUAAUAAUAAUAAUAAUAAUAAUAAUAAUAAUAAUAAUAAUAAUAAUAAUAAUAAUAAUAAUAAUAAUAAUAAUAAUAAUAAUAAUAAUAAUAAUAAUAAUAAUAAUAAUAAUAAUAAUAAUAAUAAUAAUAAUAAUAAUAAUAAUAAUAAUAAUAAUAAUAAUAAUAAUAAUAAUAAUAAUAAUAAUAAUAAUAAUAAUAAUAAUAAUAAUAAUAAUAAUAAUAAUAAUAAUAAUAAUAAUAAUAAUAAUAAUAAUAAUAAUAAUAAUAAUAAUAAUAAUAAUAAUAAUAAUAAUAAUAAUAAUAAUAAUAAUAAUAAUAAUAAUAAUAAUAAUAAUAAUAAUAAUAAUAAUAAUAAUAAUAAUAAUAAUAAUAAUAAUAAUAAUAAUAAUAAUAAUAAUAAUAAUAAUAAUAAUAAUAAUAAUAAUAAUAAUAAUAAUAAUAAUAAUAAUAAUAAUAAUAAUAAUAAUAAUAAUAAUAAUAAUAAUAAUAAUAAUAAUAAUAAUAAUAAUAAUAAUAAUAAUAAUAAUAAUAAUAAUAAUAAUAAUAAUAAUAAUAAUAAUAAUAAUAAUAAUAAUAAUAAUAAUAAUAAUAAUAAUAAUAAUAAUAAUAAUAAUAAUAAUAAUAAUAAUAAUAAUAAUAAUAAUAAUAAUAAUAAUAAUAAUAAUAAUAAUAAUAAUAAUAAUAAUAAUAAUAAUAAUAAUAAUAAUAAUAAUAAUAAUAAUAAUAAUAAUAAUAAUAAUAAUAAUAAUAAUAAUAAUAAUAAUAAUAAUAAUAAUAAUAAUAAUAAUAAUAAUAAUAAUAAUAAUAAUAAUAAUAAUAAUAAUAAUAAUAAUAAUAAUAAUAAUAAUAAUAAUAAUAAUAAUAAUAAUAAUAAUAAUAAUAAUAAUAAUAAUAAUAAUAAUAAUAAUAAUAAUAAUAAUAAUAAUAAUAAUAAUAAUAAUAAUAAUAAUAAUAAUAAUAAUAAUAAUAAUAAUAAUAAUAAUAAUAAUAAUAAUAAUAAUAAUAAUAAUAAUAAUAAUAAUAAUAAUAAUAAUAAUAAUAAUAAUAAUAAUAAUAAUAAUAAUAAUAAUAAUAAUAAUAAUAAUAAUAAUAAUAAUAAUAAUAAUAAUAAUAAUAAUAAUAAUAAUAAUAAUAAUAAUAAUAAUAAUAAUAAUAAUAAUAAUAAUAAUAAUAAUAAUAAUAAUAAUAAUAAUAAUAAUAAUAAUAAUAAUAAUAAUAAUAAUAAUAAUAAUAAUAAUAAUAAUAAUAAUAAUAAUAAUAAUAAUAAUAAUAAUAAUAAUAAUAAUAAUAAUAAUAAUAAUAAUAAUAAUAAUAAUAAUAAUAAUAAUAAUAAUAAUAAUAAUAAUAAUAAUAAUAAUAAUAAUAAUAAUAAUAAUAAUAAUAAUAAUAAUAAUAAUAAUAAUAAUAAUAAUAAUAAUAAUAAUAAUAAUAAUAAUAAUAAUAAUAAUAAUAAUAAUAAUAAUAAUAAUAAUAAUAAUAAUAAUAAUAAUAAUAAUAAUAAUAAUAAUAAUAAUAAUAAUAAUAAUAAUAAUAAUAAUAAUAAUAAUAAUAAUAAUAAUAAUAAUAAUAAUAAUAAUAAUAAUAAUAAUAAUAAUAAUAAUAAUAAUAAUAAUAAUAAUAAUAAUAAUAAUAAUAAUAAUAAUAAUAAUAAUAAUAAUAAUAAUAAUAAUAAUAAUAAUAAUAAUAAUAAUAAUAAUAAUAAUAAUAAUAAUAAUAAUAAUAAUAAUAAUAAUAAUAAUAAUAAUAAUAAUAAUAAUAAUAAUAAUAAUAAUAAUAAUAAUAAUAAUAAUAAUAAUAAUAAUAAUAAUAAUAAUAAUAAUAAUAAUAAUAAUAAUAAUAAUAAUAAUAAUAAUAAUAAUAAUAAUAAUAAUAAUAAUAAUAAUAAUAAUAAUAAUAAUAAUAAUAAUAAUAAUAAUAAUAAUAAUAAUAAUAAUAAUAAUAAUAAUAAUAAUAAUAAUAAUAAUAAUAAUAAUAAUAAUAAUAAUAAUAAUAAUAAUAAUAAUAAUAAUAAUAAUAAUAAUAAUAAUAAUAAUAAUAAUAAUAAUAAUAAUAAUAAUAAUAAUAAUAAUAAUAAUAAUAAUAAUAAUAAUAAUAAUAAUAAUAAUAAUAAUAAUAAUAAUAAUAAUAAUAAUAAUAAUAAUAAUAAUAAUAAUAAUAAUAAUAAUAAUAAUAAUAAUAAUAAUAAUAAUAAUAAUAAUAAUAAUAAUAAUAAUAAUAAUAAUAAUAAUAAUAAUAAUAAUAAUAAUAAUAAUAAUAAUAAUAAUAAUAAUAAUAAUAAUAAUAAUAAUAAUAAUAAUAAUAAUAAUAAUAAUAAUAAUAAUAAUAAUAAUAAUAAUAAUAAUAAUAAUAAUAAUAAUAAUAAUAAUAAUAAUAAUAAUAAUAAUAAUAAUAAUAAUAAUAAUAAUAAUAAUAAUAAUAAUAAUAAUAAUAAUAAUAAUAAUAAUAAUAAUAAUAAUAAUAAUAAUAAUAAUAAUAAUAAUAAUAAUAAUAAUAAUAAUAAUAAUAAUAAUAAUAAUAAUAAUAAUAAUAAUAAUAAUAAUAAUAAUAAUAAUAAUAAUAAUAAUAAUAAUAAUAAUAAUAAUAAUAAUAAUAAUAAUAAUAAUAAUAAUAAUAAUAAUAAUAAUAAUAAUAAUAAUAAUAAUAAUAAUAAUAAUAAUAAUAAUAAUAAUAAUAAUAAUAAUAAUAAUAAUAAUAAUAAUAAUAAUAAUAAUAAUAAUAAUAAUAAUAAUAAUAAUAAUAAUAAUAAUAAUAAUAAUAAUAAUAAUAAUAAUAAUAAUAAUAAUAAUAAUAAUAAUAAUAAUAAUAAUAAUAAUAAUAAUAAUAAUAAUAAUAAUAAUAAUAAUAAUAAUAAUAAUAAUAAUAAUAAUAAUAAUAAUAAUAAUAAUAAUAAUAAUAAUAAUAAUAAUAAUAAUAAUAAUAAUAAUAAUAAUAAUAAUAAUAAUAAUAAUAAUAAUAAUAAUAAUAAUAAUAAUAAUAAUAAUAAUAAUAAUAAUAAUAAUAAUAAUAAUAAUAAUAAUAAUAAUAAUAAUAAUAAUAAUAAUAAUAAUAAUAAUAAUAAUAAUAAUAAUAAUAAUAAUAAUAAUAAUAAUAAUAAUAAUAAUAAUAAUAAUAAUAAUAAUAAUAAUAAUAAUAAUAAUAAUAAUAAUAAUAAUAAUAAUAAUAAUAAUAAUAAUAAUAAUAAUAAUAAUAAUAAUAAUAAUAAUAAUAAUAAUAAUAAUAAUAAUAAUAAUAAUAAUAAUAAUAAUAAUAAUAAUAAUAAUAAUAAUAAUAAUAAUAAUAAUAAUAAUAAUAAUAAUAAUAAUAAUAAUAAUAAUAAUAAUAAUAAUAAUAAUAAUAAUAAUAAUAAUAAUAAUAAUAAUAAUAAUAAUAAUAAUAAUAAUAAUAAUAAUAAUAAUAAUAAUAAUAAUAAUAAUAAUAAUAAUAAUAAUAAUAAUAAUAAUAAUAAUAAUAAUAAUAAUAAUAAUAAUAAUAAUAAUAAUAAUAAUAAUAAUAAUAAUAAUAAUAAUAAUAAUAAUAAUAAUAAUAAUAAUAAUAAUAAUAAUAAUAAUAAUAAUAAUAAUAAUAAUAAUAAUAAUAAUAAUAAUAAUAAUAAUAAUAAUAAUAAUAAUAAUAAUAAUAAUAAUAAUAAUAAUAAUAAUAAUAAUAAUAAUAAUAAUAAUAAUAAUAAUAAUAAUAAUAAUAAUAAUAAUAAUAAUAAUAAUAAUAAUAAUAAUAAUAAUAAUAAUAAUAAUAAUAAUAAUAAUAAUAAUAAUAAUAAUAAUAAUAAUAAUAAUAAUAAUAAUAAUAAUAAUAAUAAUAAUAAUAAUAAUAAUAAUAAUAAUAAUAAUAAUAAUAAUAAUAAUAAUAAUAAUAAUAAUAAUAAUAAUAAUAAUAAUAAUAAUAAUAAUAAUAAUAAUAAUAAUAAUAAUAAUAAUAAUAAUAAUAAUAAUAAUAAUAAUAAUAAUAAUAAUAAUAAUAAUAAUAAUAAUAAUAAUAAUAAUAAUAAUAAUAAUAAUAAUAAUAAUAAUAAUAAUAAUAAUAAUAAUAAUAAUAAUAAUAAUAAUAAUAAUAAUAAUAAUAAUAAUAAUAAUAAUAAUAAUAAUAAUAAUAAUAAUAAUAAUAAUAAUAAUAAUAAUAAUAAUAAUAAUAAUAAUAAUAAUAAUAAUAAUAAUAAUAAUAAUAAUAAUAAUAAUAAUAAUAAUAAUAAUAAUAAUAAUAAUAAUAAUAAUAAUAAUAAUAAUAAUAAUAAUAAUAAUAAUAAUAAUAAUAAUAAUAAUAAUAAUAAUAAUAAUAAUAAUAAUAAUAAUAAUAAUAAUAAUAAUAAUAAUAAUAAUAAUAAUAAUAAUAAUAAUAAUAAUAAUAAUAAUAAUAAUAAUAAUAAUAAUAAUAAUAAUAAUAAUAAUAAUAAUAAUAAUAAUAAUAAUAAUAAUAAUAAUAAUAAUAAUAAUAAUAAUAAUAAUAAUAAUAAUAAUAAUAAUAAUAAUAAUAAUAAUAAUAAUAAUAAUAAUAAUAAUAAUAAUAAUAAUAAUAAUAAUAAUAAUAAUAAUAAUAAUAAUAAUAAUAAUAAUAAUAAUAAUAAUAAUAAUAAUAAUAAUAAUAAUAAUAAUAAUAAUAAUAAUAAUAAUAAUAAUAAUAAUAAUAAUAAUAAUAAUAAUAAUAAUAAUAAUAAUAAUAAUAAUAAUAAUAAUAAUAAUAAUAAUAAUAAUAAUAAUAAUAAUAAUAAUAAUAAUAAUAAUAAUAAUAAUAAUAAUAAUAAUAAUAAUAAUAAUAAUAAUAAUAAUAAUAAUAAUAAUAAUAAUAAUAAUAAUAAUAAUAAUAAUAAUAAUAAUAAUAAUAAUAAUAAUAAUAAUAAUAAUAAUAAUAAUAAUAAUAAUAAUAAUAAUAAUAAUAAUAAUAAUAAUAAUAAUAAUAAUAAUAAUAAUAAUAAUAAUAAUAAUAAUAAUAAUAAUAAUAAUAAUAAUAAUAAUAAUAAUAAUAAUAAUAAUAAUAAUAAUAAUAAUAAUAAUAAUAAUAAUAAUAAUAAUAAUAAUAAUAAUAAUAAUAAUAAUAAUAAUAAUAAUAAUAAUAAUAAUAAUAAUAAUAAUAAUAAUAAUAAUAAUAAUAAUAAUAAUAAUAAUAAUAAUAAUAAUAAUAAUAAUAAUAAUAAUAAUAAUAAUAAUAAUAAUAAUAAUAAUAAUAAUAAUAAUAAUAAUAAUAAUAAUAAUAAUAAUAAUAAUAAUAAUAAUAAUAAUAAUAAUAAUAAUAAUAAUAAUAAUAAUAAUAAUAAUAAUAAUAAUAAUAAUAAUAAUAAUAAUAAUAAUAAUAAUAAUAAUAAUAAUAAUAAUAAUAAUAAUAAUAAUAAUAAUAAUAAUAAUAAUAAUAAUAAUAAUAAUAAUAAUAAUAAUAAUAAUAAUAAUAAUAAUAAUAAUAAUAAUAAUAAUAAUAAUAAUAAUAAUAAUAAUAAUAAUAAUAAUAAUAAUAAUAAUAAUAAUAAUAAUAAUAAUAAUAAUAAUAAUAAUAAUAAUAAUAAUAAUAAUAAUAAUAAUAAUAAUAAUAAUAAUAAUAAUAAUAAUAAUAAUAAUAAUAAUAAUAAUAAUAAUAAUAAUAAUAAUAAUAAUAAUAAUAAUAAUAAUAAUAAUAAUAAUAAUAAUAAUAAUAAUAAUAAUAAUAAUAAUAAUAAUAAUAAUAAUAAUAAUAAUAAUAAUAAUAAUAAUAAUAAUAAUAAUAAUAAUAAUAAUAAUAAUAAUAAUAAUAAUAAUAAUAAUAAUAAUAAUAAUAAUAAUAAUAAUAAUAAUAAUAAUAAUAAUAAUAAUAAUAAUAAUAAUAAUAAUAAUAAUAAUAAUAAUAAUAAUAAUAAUAAUAAUAAUAAUAAUAAUAAUAAUAAUAAUAAUAAUAAUAAUAAUAAUAAUAAUAAUAAUAAUAAUAAUAAUAAUAAUAAUAAUAAUAAUAAUAAUAAUAAUAAUAAUAAUAAUAAUAAUAAUAAUAAUAAUAAUAAUAAUAAUAAUAAUAAUAAUAAUAAUAAUAAUAAUAAUAAUAAUAAUAAUAAUAAUAAUAAUAAUAAUAAUAAUAAUAAUAAUAAUAAUAAUAAUAAUAAUAAUAAUAAUAAUAAUAAUAAUAAUAAUAAUAAUAAUAAUAAUAAUAAUAAUAAUAAUAAUAAUAAUAAUAAUAAUAAUAAUAAUAAUAAUAAUAAUAAUAAUAAUAAUAAUAAUAAUAAUAAUAAUAAUAAUAAUAAUAAUAAUAAUAAUAAUAAUAAUAAUAAUAAUAAUAAUAAUAAUAAUAAUAAUAAUAAUAAUAAUAAUAAUAAUAAUAAUAAUAAUAAUAAUAAUAAUAAUAAUAAUAAUAAUAAUAAUAAUAAUAAUAAUAAUAAUAAUAAUAAUAAUAAUAAUAAUAAUAAUAAUAAUAAUAAUAAUAAUAAUAAUAAUAAUAAUAAUAAUAAUAAUAAUAAUAAUAAUAAUAAUAAUAAUAAUAAUAAUAAUAAUAAUAAUAAUAAUAAUAAUAAUAAUAAUAAUAAUAAUAAUAAUAAUAAUAAUAAUAAUAAUAAUAAUAAUAAUAAUAAUAAUAAUAAUAAUAAUAAUAAUAAUAAUAAUAAUAAUAAUAAUAAUAAUAAUAAUAAUAAUAAUAAUAAUAAUAAUAAUAAUAAUAAUAAUAAUAAUAAUAAUAAUAAUAAUAAUAAUAAUAAUAAUAAUAAUAAUAAUAAUAAUAAUAAUAAUAAUAAUAAUAAUAAUAAUAAUAAUAAUAAUAAUAAUAAUAAUAAUAAUAAUAAUAAUAAUAAUAAUAAUAAUAAUAAUAAUAAUAAUAAUAAUAAUAAUAAUAAUAAUAAUAAUAAUAAUAAUAAUAAUAAUAAUAAUAAUAAUAAUAAUAAUAAUAAUAAUAAUAAUAAUAAUAAUAAUAAUAAUAAUAAUAAUAAUAAUAAUAAUAAUAAUAAUAAUAAUAAUAAUAAUAAUAAUAAUAAUAAUAAUAAUAAUAAUAAUAAUAAUAAUAAUAAUAAUAAUAAUAAUAAUAAUAAUAAUAAUAAUAAUAAUAAUAAUAAUAAUAAUAAUAAUAAUAAUAAUAAUAAUAAUAAUAAUAAUAAUAAUAAUAAUAAUAAUAAUAAUAAUAAUAAUAAUAAUAAUAAUAAUAAUAAUAAUAAUAAUAAUAAUAAUAAUAAUAAUAAUAAUAAUAAUAAUAAUAAUAAUAAUAAUAAUAAUAAUAAUAAUAAUAAUAAUAAUAAUAAUAAUAAUAAUAAUAAUAAUAAUAAUAAUAAUAAUAAUAAUAAUAAUAAUAAUAAUAAUAAUAAUAAUAAUAAUAAUAAUAAUAAUAAUAAUAAUAAUAAUAAUAAUAAUAAUAAUAAUAAUAAUAAUAAUAAUAAUAAUAAUAAUAAUAAUAAUAAUAAUAAUAAUAAUAAUAAUAAUAAUAAUAAUAAUAAUAAUAAUAAUAAUAAUAAUAAUAAUAAUAAUAAUAAUAAUAAUAAUAAUAAUAAUAAUAAUAAUAAUAAUAAUAAUAAUAAUAAUAAUAAUAAUAAUAAUAAUAAUAAUAAUAAUAAUAAUAAUAAUAAUAAUAAUAAUAAUAAUAAUAAUAAUAAUAAUAAUAAUAAUAAUAAUAAUAAUAAUAAUAAUAAUAAUAAUAAUAAUAAUAAUAAUAAUAAUAAUAAUAAUAAUAAUAAUAAUAAUAAUAAUAAUAAUAAUAAUAAUAAUAAUAAUAAUAAUAAUAAUAAUAAUAAUAAUAAUAAUAAUAAUAAUAAUAAUAAUAAUAAUAAUAAUAAUAAUAAUAAUAAUAAUAAUAAUAAUAAUAAUAAUAAUAAUAAUAAUAAUAAUAAUAAUAAUAAUAAUAAUAAUAAUAAUAAUAAUAAUAAUAAUAAUAAUAAUAAUAAUAAUAAUAAUAAUAAUAAUAAUAAUAAUAAUAAUAAUAAUAAUAAUAAUAAUAAUAAUAAUAAUAAUAAUAAUAAUAAUAAUAAUAAUAAUAAUAAUAAUAAUAAUAAUAAUAAUAAUAAUAAUAAUAAUAAUAAUAAUAAUAAUAAUAAUAAUAAUAAUAAUAAUAAUAAUAAUAAUAAUAAUAAUAAUAAUAAUAAUAAUAAUAAUAAUAAUAAUAAUAAUAAUAAUAAUAAUAAUAAUAAUAAUAAUAAUAAUAAUAAUAAUAAUAAUAAUAAUAAUAAUAAUAAUAAUAAUAAUAAUAAUAAUAAUAAUAAUAAUAAUAAUAAUAAUAAUAAUAAUAAUAAUAAUAAUAAUAAUAAUAAUAAUAAUAAUAAUAAUAAUAAUAAUAAUAAUAGAGAAGAGAAAAAUUAGAUCUAGGGUUUCUUUCUUUUUCUCCAAUCCAAAAAUCCCCCCUUUUCACAAUAGAUUCCUCCCUUAAAUACUCUCUCUCUCUUCUCCUCUAGAAUUCUAUUUAAAAUAAAAUACUAACAUCUGAAAUAUUAAAUUCGUAAUUACAAAAAUAACCAAAAAUACAAAACACGUUAAACUAAAAACUGCAGGUCCGCAGUUGACAGCACGCGCCCACGCCUUAUCAACAAAGUUCUUCUGACGCUCAUAAUUUCUCCAAGAGAACAAUCAUCCUUAAACAUCAUCUUAUAGCUCAAUUUUAUCAUCAAUCAAUAGAAUUGCACCUACAAAAGUAAAACAUAAGUAAAUCACUAUUAUUAAGUGCAAAACAUUGAUAUUAAGGGAAGUAAAUAAUGCAAAACUAGUGCAUAAAUUGCACUCUAACAGUAAUCAGUAAUCAGCAUUAAAAAUUAAAUUAAAUUAAAUUUUUUUGUUUUUAAUAUUAUUUAGUUAUAGACUUAUUAUUAUAUUUAUUCGUUCAUAAAACUAAAUAAUGUUAAAUCAAAUAAAAUAAUCAGGAAUGGUUCUUAAAAAAUUAAUAUUAUUUAUUUUAUUUUAUUUAAUAUUAUUUAGUCAUAGCCUAUUAUUCUGUUUAUUUUUUGAAAAUUAAAUAAUAUUAAAUAAAAUAGAAUAGAAAAUGUGAGUCCUUAAAAAUAAAAAUUAUUUUUAAUAUUAUUUAUUUUAUUUAAAAGAAUAAAUUUUUUAAUAUUUUUAUUUUAUUAAAAAAUAUUAUUUAAUAUUAUCUAGUCAUAGGCUUAUUAUUAUAUUUCUUCUUUUAGAAAGUUAAAUAGUAUUAAAUGAAAUAAAAUUACAUUUUAGAAGGUCAUUAGCCAAAGCACAUAAACUUAUAAACAAAUGGAAAUAAAAAAGGUAAAUAAUAUUCAAUAAAAUAAAAUUACAUUUUAAAAGGUCACCAACCAAAGCACAUAAUAUUAUAACAAAAAUGUAAAUAAAAAAGAAAGUAAGAGAUUCAAUGAAAUUUAACAUCACAAAAGACAAUUUCAAAAAUUGGGGGUAGCUUGCAACUGUUGCAAAGUGGCUGGUUCCAUAAUUUUGAGAUAAUGUUUCGGUUUCAAAUAUUGUUAUCGAUACCUAAUUAUAAGUAAUAAAAAAAUAUUGUAUAAUUUUUUUACCAACAUUUACAAUACAUUUUAUUUUGAUUUCUGAAAAAAAUAGAUAAAACACAAAUUAAUUAUUUUAACCCUCUAUUCUCUCAAUAUUUAAACUCGAAUAAUCAGUUAAAAGUUGCUCGAGAAUGUUUAAAAGCCAUUUAAGUAUACCACGUCAUUCAUGUUUUGCAAUCAUUCAAUUGUUAAUAAGUUUCCCAUGUGCUGAAAAUAAAUAAAAAUGCACGUGCAUAUGUCAUAUUGUCUCCGAAACCUCACAGCGGAAUGAGUGUAGUACUUGCAAUGCAUGUACUUUAGACUUUGUAUUUCUCUUAUUUAAAUGAUCAAUAAUUUUUCUUUGUCCUUUAAUUAGACGUCAACAGUCGAAGUUGUGGGCAGGUAGUAGGCUAUAUAUAAUAAUUUCCUGGAGAUCUUCCGUCUUCUAAGACAUUGCAAAUGCCAAACGUGAUAACUAUUUUGAUAAUUCAAAUACUACAUAAAAUAUAUGAAGUGUCAGACAAGUCAAAAGAAUUGAUUCUUCACAAUUGUAUAUACGUAUACACACACUUUGCCCAAAUCCCAUUGUAUCCAGGCUGUAAUUUUUAUAUUAAACGAACAUAUUUUAUUUUAUGUCAGCAAUAUUGAUGCAGGCUGGGGGAACAACAGCUUCAGGAUGGUCAACUACCCUUCGGAUCAUUGCAAGUGGGAUGGCAUCACUUGCAAUUCAGAUGGAAGCAUAAUCAGGCUAAAAUUAUCAUGGUGUGAUGUUGACUUCAAAAGGUAAUCUUCGUAAAAUUAUCAUGGUAUAAUAUACGUAUUUAUUUUCGCAUACAUAAAUAAAUAACAAAAUUGUAAUUAAUUGGAUACAGCUUCAGCUUUUGGACUGGUUUGUGAAAAUCAGAAAAAUUUAAAAAUGCUCCUCUUGAACAAUCAAAAUCUACUUUAUACGUGAACAAAGGGGAUGAUUCGUAAAGAUAGUUCAUCAAUGUUUGAUUGCUUUCAAGCGUGUCGAUUACUUUCAGAAAGAAAGACUUCAUUUGAUCUCGUCACAAAACAUAAUUUCACUUUGAAUUUGAAAAAGAAUAAUGAAGUUCAUACAAGUGCUGUUAUGACCUUUUUUUUUUUGUUUUCUUUUUUUCUCGACGUUGUUUUGUGAAUCAUAAGGGUUAAUUUAAUACGGUGGGUUCGCUUGUAUGAAGCGCACUUAUUGUACCAUUCUGUUGCAAGCAAUGAAAAAACGCUAUAAUUUUUUUAAGUUUCUACAAGUAUUAUGUUAUCUUAUAUCUAAAUGUGCAUCUCUAGUCUUUGCUCUCAGUUCAGGUUCUCUAAAAGUAUAUUAAUUAUGAAAAGCAUUAAAGGUUCCGAAACUCUAUUUUGCGGGGAAAAAGAACCUCCAUUUUUGGUUUUUUAUUAUAUGAGAUUUUACUAUGCUCGUAAUAACUUAAUCGAAAUUAAACAUAUCACUGGUCUACAUUUUUUUAUAAGAUUUUGUGACUUGCUAAUUAAGAUGAGUAUCACCAUCAAAUCAACAAGCUUAUACCUUCAAAGAAAAAUAGACUAUAAGUCGGGAGAAAGAAGAAAAAAAAAAAAAAAAGAAUCUUCGCAAUUUAUGCUGUUGGUUGUGAGUUCAUGAAACAAAUAAAAAUAUGAAAUCAAACAUUUAUUCAAAAUUUAAAAUUAAAAAAAAAACUCUAUAUCUACAGUAAUCUGUUCAAACCACAUAGGUGGAGCAAUAUAGUUCCAAGACGUGGUUUUAAAACAUGUCUUUGUGAUAAACAAUAUCGUGAUACUUGCGCCAAUUCCCAUGGCAAUAAUUGCCUACAUUUAUCCAAGAUCCAUGGCCAGGUUUAGAAUGUGCUAGUCUUCUUUCACUUUCAUAAAUAACCACUACUAGGUAAUCAGAGUGUCGGUCUAAAUUUUUCGGAGAUACAACGUCAAUGUAUGUGCCCGGAGUUGAAGCUGAACGCGCUUAAAUAUGUUCGGAAUUUGAAGUUGAACGCCUGGAAAAGGAUGCAGACUGAAGAAAGGCAAUUCCUGGAAUUUGUCUUUGGUAAGAAAACAUGGCUGCUUAUGCCCUUUGAAAGACUGAAGAAACCAAAUUGAUUAUUGCUGCAAUUUAGUGGCACAUGUACGAGGAGAGGCAUCCAAUUAAACUUGUUCAUAAAAGUAUUGCUGAUAGUUGCAGCCGAUCUCCAGACAAAAUCUUCGUACAAUUUUAUCCGCCAGCAAUUUCGACCAAGAGACCUUGAUGCAGUUCAGACCAAUUCGCCAGUUGAACAUCAAGUUGCCUAGGCAUUGAGAAUUAGGUCAAUAAAAUAUAUCCUGGGUCACUUACAAAAGAUGAAAUAAGUGAAAAAGGAAAGAUGACGUAAUAAUUUCUUAGUGAGAAAAGUUAGUUAAUUUGCAAAGGUCUUAGAUAAUCAAUUUGAUGUAAAAAUAUCAAAAUUUUUUUUAAUCAGUGAAAUAUUCAACCUCUAGUUUCAGCACUACAAAUGAAUUAAAUAGAAUAAUGAUAGAUAUUUUAAAAUUUUAUCCCAAAUGAUGUGAUAUGUAAUGUAUCAUUCAUUAAGUAGUUGAUGAUUUUUUUAUAAAUUUUAAGUGGAUUAAUUAUAUUAUUUUACCAACGAGUAAAUAAAUGUCACAUCAUUAGAGAAGAAAUUUUAAGGUAAAACUUUUCAAAUAUAUAUCACUACUCCAUUAAAUAUGGUAUAAAAAAUCUAAUAGGGACCAAAAAUAUAAAAACCCAUUAAAAAUAAAAAAUAUAAAAGUCAAUUCCUAAUUAGAAGAAUGAAAGUUUGUUUCUCCUACAAUCAUUUCACUAGAUUUUAAAUAAAUUAAUUAAUGAAAAUUUUUAAUAACAAAUCGGUGCCUAAACCUAACGUCUUUUUUUUUUUGGUCUUAUCCACGAGGUAUCCUGGGGAGGGCCCCAACUGUGGGAGGCACCUUUAAGCCCGUACCACAACCCAGACUAGAAGUCCCCGCUCGAACCGGGAGGCACAGGUUCUCCCAACAAAGGCGACUUCCCCGCGACUCGAACUGGGGAGCAAACCCAGUCAAGCCACUUAAGGGGACUCCAUUGCCAGUGGAGCCAACACUUUGUUGGUUAAACCUAACGUCUUUGACAGUGCUGCCAAUAUCACUCACAACUUACAAGAAAAUUUUGGUAUUAAAUUUAUUAAUGUUCUCAAGGAAUUUUUAGUUUGACUUUGCAUUCUCAGACCCAUUUGUCACAUAACACGUUAGCAAAGACCUUUAAUGAGAAUAUUAAAACAGCUGUCGAAUAAGCAUCUUGACGACGACUUUUUGACAUAUAUGCAUGCCUCCUUUUGUGAACAAAUUUGAAACAUAAAAGAAAAUUUUGAUCCAUGUGAGAGCUGGAGUAUUUUAUAGCUUUUGACCUCAUUAAUUAUGAGUAAGGGAAUAUUUCUACGUCACUAACGAUUAACAUGAUCACUAUAUAAAGGGAAGCAAAGUAUGUUUAGCAUCAAGUCAGAAAACACAAUUUUUAGGAAAUGGGAACUCUAGGACAGGCGAAGCAAUGGCCUCAAUUGGUUUGUGCUAUGGCAUUUUUGCUCAUAGCCACCACAACCGCAAAGGCAUCAGCUGAUGAUUAUGGCCCAGCACCAUCACCAAAGCAUGCAAAGCACCCUCCAAGCCAUUACAAGCCACCGAAACCACCAAAGCACCACGAGUCACCACCACCAUACUACUAUAACUCACCACCUCCACCAGUACAUUCUCCUCCACCACCUUAUUACUAUAAGUCUCCACCACCACCUUCUCUAUCUCCACCACCUCCUUACUAUUAUAAAUCACCACCACCACCGAAACAUUCUCCUCCACCUCCUUACUACUACAAAUCACCACCUCCUCCUUCUCCCUCUCCACCUCCACCAUAUUAUUACAAGUCUCCCCCACCACCAUCUCCAUCUCCCCCACCGCCUUACUACUAUAAAUCCCCACCACCACCAAAAUAUUCUCCUCCACCACCUUACUACUAUAAGUCACCACCUCCACCAGUGAAAUCUCCACCUCCGCCAUAUUACUAUAAAUCACCACCACCACCAAAACAUUCUCCCCCACCACCUUACUACUACAAGUCACCACCACCACCAAUGCAUUCUCCCCCACCACCUUACUAUUACAAAUCUCCACCACCACCAAAGCAUUCUCCUCCACCACCACCUUAUUACAAAUCACCACCCCCACCACCACCAAAACAUUCUCCCCCACCACCUUACUACUAUAAAUCUCCACCGCCACCAAAACAUUCUCCUCCUCCACCAUACUACUAUAAGUCACCACCUCCACCUGUAAAGUCUCCACCUCCACCACCUCACUACAAAUCACCACCACCACCAAAACAGUCUCCUCCACCACCUUAUUACUACAAGUCACCACCCCCACCAGUAAAGUCUCCACCACAGCCACCAAAGCAUUCUCCCCCGCCACCUUACUAUUACAAAUCACCACCUCCACCAAUGAAGUCUCCACCACCGCCACCUUACUAUAAAUCACCACCACCACCAAAUUCUCCCCCUCCACCUUACUAUUACAAAUCACCACCACCACCAAAGCAUUCCCCCCCGCCACCUUAUUACUAUAGAUCUCCACCACCACCAAAGUAUUCUCCCCCACCACCUUACUACUAUAAGUCACCACCUCCACCAAAGCAUUCUCCCCCGCCUCCUUACUAUUACAAAUCUCCACCACCACCUUACUAAUACAAAUCUCCACCACCACCAUCUCUAUCCCCACCUCCAUCUUCCAUUUACACCGCCACCAUCUACAUCACCUCCACCACCAUCUCCAUCAUUGUCACUAUUGCCUUCCGACUACUCCAUGUGAUCACCACCUCCCGAAGACUUCUAAGUUCAAUGUCCCUUCUUGAAACAAGUUU